Molecule: long non-coding RNA, 596 nt
Organism: Oncorhynchus tshawytscha (Chinook salmon)
Lineage: Eukaryota; Metazoa; Chordata; Actinopteri; Salmoniformes; Salmonidae
Source: Ensembl
ACACCAGCAAUCUGCGGAUCAUCCGGGCCUAUCAGAGUGAAGGAAGGACAUGGAGACAUCCUCAGCUCCCUGGGGGAAUGGGCGAGUACUCACAGGGAGGCCCAAAGCCCUCUGUGCUCACAGGGAGGGGCAGAGCACCGAUCGACCGGACAAGCAAUAUACUGCAUCCAGCUGCCAGCAUUGUGGAGGUUCGGACUGUCCCCUGCUCUUUGUGCCAUGGCAGCUGUCCAUACUGGCCAACCACUUCAACGAGUCUAUCAGUGUGCUGUGAUGCCAGUCCUGCUACACUGAUGGACUGGAGAGGUGCCAGUCCUGUACCAAAUGACACUAACCACUGGCUGUGUGUGCCAAUGGCAAGCUGUCCUAUCAUCCCCACAUUGAGAGAAAACUGCUUUUUAUCUCCCAUGUUAAGGUAAUUGAUGCUUUCAUUUUCACUAAGCUUAAUAAUGAGAGAGCGGGAGAAACUGACGGUAAUAAAUGGUGAUGGAGAGGCUUUUGGUCAGCUCUGGAGGUAGAAAGAAAUUAAUUUGUUUAUUGUCGUCCUAAUUCUGAGGUAAUUGCUUCCAGAGUUGUCUUGGGUGAAAAUGUAUAGAAUG